RNAcentral lists this ribosomal RNA (452 nucleotides) under uncultured bacterium. RNAcentral's name for it is "bacterial SSU rRNA". It matches the Rfam family "Bacterial small subunit ribosomal RNA", at positions 64 to 507 of the family's 1533-position model. The record is from RNAcentral.
GAACGGUAGCACAGAGAGCUUGCUCUCGGGUGACGAGUGGCGGACGGGUGAGUAAUGUCUGGGAAACUGCCCGAUGGAGGGGGAUAACUACUGGAAACGGUAGCUAAUACCGCAUAACGUCUUCGGACCAAAGUGGGGGACCUUCGGGCCUCACACCAUCGGAUGUGCCCAGAUGGGAUUAGCUAGUAGGUGGGGUAAUGGCUCACCUAGGCGACGAUCCCUAGCUGGUCUGAGAGGAUGACCAGCCGCACUGGAACUGAGACACGGUCCAGACUCCUACGGGAGGCAGCAGUGGGGAAUAUUGCACAAUGGGCGCAAGCCUGAUGCAGCCAUGCCGCGUGUAUGAAGAAGGCCUUCGGGUUGUAAAGUACUUUCAGCGGGGAGGAAGGCGGUGAAGUUAAUAACUUCAUCGAUUGACGUUACCCGCAGAAGAAGCACCGGCUAACUCCGUG